Molecule: RNA transcript, 2096 nt
Organism: Vespa crabro (European hornet)
Lineage: Eukaryota; Metazoa; Arthropoda; Insecta; Hymenoptera; Vespidae
Gene name: galactose mutarotase-like
Exons: 9
Source: RefSeq, a predicted model, not a curated record
AUUAUUACUAUUAUUAAUUAUUAAUUAUUAUCAUUAUAAUAAAUGAUUUUAAAUAACGACGAAAAGGUUAUUGAAUUCUUAGCUUCUGUUAUCCUUUUUUUUUAUUGAGAAUGUUAGAAAAAAAUCGAACCAAAGAUAUUUACUCUACGUCAGUAAUUUCGGAUUUUUUCAACCGCAAGAAUGUACAAUGCUUGCUACAGUGUAUUAUAUUCAUUAAAGAAUAAAACGUAUUUAUCACCGUUUGCGAUUGUGCAAGUCAACGAUAUUCUACUGUCAACUUGUAUUUUAUUUAUAAAAUUUCAAUAAGUAAAACAAAUUUUUAGUUUAUUUACUGUUAAUAUAAUAAAGUGAUAUUAAAAAUUUUUUUAAACUAAUAAAUCAUAUUUCUAAUUUUAACAAUAAAACAGUUAAAUAAUAUUCAAAAUAAAGAAAUAUUAAAUUUAAAAAAUAUCAUGGAUUCUUAUGGCUGCGGAUGUAAAAAUGUUAUUAUCAUAGAAGGAAUAUUUGGAGAAAUUUAUCCUGAUUUAUCAUGUUACAAAGGAGAGGAUUUGAAAUAUAAUCAAGAAUCUUUUGAAUCUCUAAUCGAAGAUAGUAAUGAAGGUUUCAAUGAAUUAAAGCCUAUAAUUGUUAAAUCUUAUACCAUGAUAAAUAAUAAUCGAAUGGAAGUUACUGUUAUCACAUGGGGUGCAUCUAUUGUAUCUCUCAAAUGUCCUGAUAAAUUUGGUCAUAGUACAGAUAUUGUUCUUGGUUUUGAUGAUUUAAAAAGUUACAUGAAUCCUGUACUUAAUCCAUUUAUCGGAUGUGUAUUAGGCAGAUGUGCAAAUCGUAUUAGAAAUGGUUGUUUUAGUAUUAAAGAUAAAGAUUAUGAAUUAACUAAGAAUGAUAAUAACCAUCAUUUACAUGGAGGGACAAAUGGAUUUGGUCGACAAAUUUGGAACUCACAUAUUGAUGACUGUUCUGUUGUUAUGAGUUAUUUAAGCGAAGAUGGAGAAGAAGGAUAUCCAGGUGCAGUCUUAGCUACAGUCAGAUUCAAAUUAACACCUGAUAAUAAAUUGGAAAUACAUAUGCGUGCAACAACAUCUAAAUCAACUAUAAUAAAUAUGUCACAUGGUUCUUUGUUUAAUCUUGCUGGACAUGAUGCUGGUGAAAUAGAAUUAAGAAAACAUAAAAUAUUGUUGAACUGUGAUCGCUGGACUUUUUCAGAUUACUCAGAUUCUAUACCAACAGGAGCUAUCAGAGGAGUAGGUGGAACAAUUAUGGAUCUUCGUAUACCAAGACUUUUGGGAGAAUAUAUGGAGAAAGUUCCUCCAGGAGAAGGUUUUGAUCACAACUUUUGUGUAACAAAAAAUUGGCAAUCUGAUAGUUCAUUCGUUGCUCGGGCAUUACAUAUGAAAUCCGGACGUGUUCUAGAAGUCUACUCAAAUCAGCCUGGUCUUCAAUUUUAUACUGGUGGGCGUUUGUUACAACAAUUUACUCCUUCUACAUUUGUAACAUAUGAUCAUUACGUACAUCAACAAAAGGCAGAUGAAGAUAUUAACAAUUAUUUGAGUAUAAAUGAAGAAAAUAAAGAAAAUGGAGAGGAAUUGUUAACACCUGAUGUAAAACCACUUCAGUUUCUUACAGGAAAAAGAGGAGCACAUUAUAAAAAGAAUUGUGCUUUUAGCAUUCAACCUCAGAAUUAUCCAAAUGCUAUUAAUUAUGUAUGUAAAUGUUUAUAUGAUGACACUAUAAUCUAUUUUACUAUAAUGACAAAUACAUUUUUUAUUUUUAUUUUUAUUUUUAUUGUUAUGAUAAAUAUAUUUUUUUUUCAGGCACAUUUUCCAUGUGCAAUUCUGUAUCCAGGUCAAGUUUAUUGUCAUGAUCUCACAUAUAAGUUUGGAAUACAACUUGCUAAUUAUAUGUAGAUAUGGAAAUAUAUAACAUACAAAAAAAUAAAUAAAUAAAAUUAAAAUAGCAAAAAAUUUAGCUACUGCACCUAUUGUAUUUCCAAAUGAAUAGCUGACUGUUAAUGAGCGCUGAAUCCAUCGAGGUAGUGCCUGAAUCUUGUAACGGUAACGUACAUCAACUAAUAUUACACUUGAAUAAUCGUUGAUGUG